This 306-nucleotide ribosomal RNA is filed under the name Triticum aestivum (bread wheat). Its description in RNAcentral is "partial small subunit ribosomal RNA". Lineage: Eukaryota; Viridiplantae; Streptophyta; Magnoliopsida; Poales; Poaceae. The record is from RNAcentral.
AUAAGUAGGAUGACACUUCUCAGUGAGCAUUAUGAUAAGGGUCACCGUGGGCGGCUUAUGGCGGAUGAGAGACAGGUCUUUUGUCCCCUGCGCCUAAGGGCUCAUGAGGCUUCAUCCAAUAAGAUGAGAUAUGAUGAGCGGUACACACAGUACAUUGAGAGGCUGGGACUCCUUCCGUUCAUCCAGCUGGUCACUCGGUCGACGCCAAGCAUGAACCCUUGUGCGAUCACCGCGCUUGUUGACCGCUGGAGGCUGGAGACUCACAGUUUUCACCUCCGGACUGGGGAGAUGACUGUGACUCUCUAG